Long non-coding RNA from Vombatus ursinus (common wombat), 1491 nucleotides. RefSeq lists it as uncharacterized. The record is from RefSeq and is a predicted model, not a curated record. The transcript has 4 exons. Lineage: Eukaryota; Metazoa; Chordata; Mammalia; Diprotodontia; Vombatidae.
GGAAAUUUAGGCAUUUGUGUGGAUGAGGGACUGCAGAGUGGAACAAAUAGAGUGCAGAAGACCCCUUGGGGGGCUCUUGGAAGAUAUCAGGCAGGUGAUAGCCGGGGCUCCUUCUGGGAGGAUGGCUGUUGGGAUGUAGCCGAGAGAAUACCACAGAGGCAAAAUCUGGAGGAUUUGAUCCUGGAUUGAAUGUGGGAGAACCUGGUGCUGUGAAGUUAGCUUCACUUGAAAGUGUGUUUGAGAAAUGGAAGAAAACCCUGCAUAGAAGGGGCAAGGAGCUGAGCACUUGGGGUCUGCUUCCUGGGCUUCUGCCCAGGUAAAACAGGGAAAUGGAGCCCGGGAGUGAAGAGAGUGGGAUGGAGGUGAUCAGCAAACGCAUCCUGGAGGAGGAAGUAAGACCCUGGCUGCAGCUUGAAAGCAGCCACUUAUCAAUUCAACAGGCGUUUAUUAUGCAUGAGGCGCUGAGCUUGGAGUGGGGAUCUGGCUUAUGAAUUGAUUGAUGGAUGGAGGAUGAUUAGUCCUUCAAUCCAGUCGGGAUGAAAACCUUCAGGAUAACUGAAGAAGACAGUGGAGCUGAUGCUUAGCCCCUCCAGAGAAGGGUCACUGGGAGACAGACACUGAACGUGAGUGGCUUAGACAAGGACAGCCACACGGCCGCUUCAGCUCCUACAUUCUUCCCUCUGUUCUUUGACUCAGAACAGGUCUCAUAAUUAAAAUUCAUCCAGCUGCCUUCUGUCCCAAGUCAAGUGGUCCAUGGAGUUCUUCCCCCACCCGUAUUCUUCAAAAGCAGAAGUGGGCAUUGUGCAGCCGAGAGAGACCAGGGACCAUCAUUUGCAUGUUUUCUUGAGACUGUUAGCUGUCACAAAGGAUUGAGGUUUCAUUUCCCAACAAAUGAACAUUCGACACAGCGUUGGAGGGAGUGUGAACUUUGGGCUAGUGUGUUUUUCCUCUGGUGCCUUGUCAUGAAGGACUCUGAAAAUUAAUUCCAGAUCUAACUCCCACCCACAAACAAGGCAAUCAGGAUGUUUUAAACAGAAUAUUUCAAAUUGUUCUUGAUUGGGCACUCAGAAUAUUUCACAUGUAUGUGUUAGUAUGUUCUUGAAGCAUUUCUGGGAUGUAGGUGAGUGGCAGGUACUGCUGAAUAAGGGAAUCACUGUCACUCUCCUGAUGAAGGCUACCCAGAAGUUAAUCGGGCUACCUUGGGGGAUAGUCCUUUCUCAAGAGGUCUUCAUGGAACAUCUGAAUGACCAAUUGUUUGGGGGGACUUCUGGAAGGGAUUUCUGCUCAGGUGUGGGUUGGUCUAGAGGAUCUCUAAAGCUCCUUGUGCUUCCAGGAUUCUGUAAGCUGGGCCGCGGUCCAGACUGUCCAAAAUGCACUCUUUCCUCUCCCCUGCUUUACUAGGUGCCUUGUGAUAUCUCCAACGGGCACGGGAUUGGUCCUACUUAGAGAGACAGAGUUGUUUUUCUUGAGAUCACGUACAGGUGUCCAGCC